AGAUUGAACGCUGGCGGCAUGCUUUACACAUGCAAGUCGAACGGCAGCACGGGGGCAACCCUGGUGGCGAGUGGCGAACGGGUGAGUAAUGCAUCGGAACGUAUCCUUGAGUGGGGGAUAACGCAGCGAAAGUUGUGCUAAUACCGCAUAAGCUCUGAGGAGGAAAGCGGGGGACCGAAAGGCCUCGCGCUGAAGGAGCGGCCGAUGUCCGAUUAGCUAGUUGGUUAGGUAAAGGCUUACCAAGGCGACGAUCGGUAGCUGGUCUGAGAGGACGACCAGCCACACUGGGACUGAGACACGGCCCAGACUCCUACGGGCGGCAGC
This 324-nucleotide ribosomal RNA is filed under the name uncultured prokaryote. RNAcentral describes it as "bacterial SSU rRNA". It matches the Rfam family "Bacterial small subunit ribosomal RNA", at positions 26 to 352 of the family's 1533-position model. The record is from RNAcentral.